This 656-nucleotide long non-coding RNA is filed under the name Citrus x clementina. Its description in RNAcentral is "Citrus clementina (C. clementina) long non-coding RNA (CCLE_LNC002751)". Lineage: Eukaryota; Viridiplantae; Streptophyta; Magnoliopsida; Sapindales; Rutaceae. The record is from RNAcentral.
AAAUAAACAAACACGUAAAAUUCAUUCCAUCACCAACCUUUUAAAAUUAUGAAUAUAUAUAUGAUGAUGAUGAUGCAUUGUGCUUGUAAAUAAGAUCAUUUGUAUCUUUGUCAAAUUUGUUUAACACUUCACCCCAUGUCUAGUCCAACAGAAAAUAUUUUAAUUUAAACGAUCGACAAUAUGCAAUGAUCGAUGCAAAUGUCAACUGUGUCUAGUCUCUAAUUUCUCUAUGUCAAAUUAAAACUAUUUAGAGCAGUAGCCGGUGUAUAAAUAUAUAUAUAUAAUCUCUAUUAUUGAGUUAACAACCCACGGGCAAAAGAAGAGUAUCCACAAUCAAUAUUCUCAUUUAGAUUAUUAUACUUAGCUAAUUCGAGAUUUAUGAUCUUAAUAUUCCACCACAGUUCACAAUCGAUGCCCAUAAACUAACAUCAUACAUAUCCAGUUUAGAUAUGCAAAUAUUUCCCAACUAUUCUGAUCCAUUCACAGUUAUUGCUUCUAUGAACACAAUAGUUAAAACAAUCCCAAGAAAUUAUAAACCUUCAUGAGUAUCGUCAUAGAUAGGGCGACAUGACUGAAAAAAGACGAGAUCAAUUCCAUACUCUUGAAGUGAUGCCGCACGUAAACUUAUUUAUAUUUAGGCCGUGUUUGAGAUUGAA